CCUACGGGAGGCAGCAGUGGGGAAUAUUGGGCAAUGGGCGCAAGCCUGACCCAGCAACGCCGCGUGAUGGAAGCAGGCUUUCGGGUUGUAAACUUCUUUUCUGAGGGACGAAGCAAGUGACGGUACCUCAGGAAUAAGCCACGGCUAACUACGUGCCAGCAGCAGCGGUAAUACGUAGGUGGCAAGCGUUAUCCGGAUUUAUUGGGUGUAAAGGGCGUGUAGGCGGGAAAGCAAGUCAGAUGUGAAAACUCAGGGCUCAACCCUUAGCCUGCAUUUGAAACUGUUUUUCUUGAGUGCUGGAGAGGCAAUCGGAAUUCCGUGUGUAGCGGUGAAAUGCGUAGAUAUACGGAGGAACACCAGUGGCGAAGGCGGAUUGCUGGACAGUAACUGACGCUGAGGCGCGAAAGCGUGGGGAGCAAACAGGAUUAGAUACCCCAGUAGUC
Molecule: ribosomal RNA, 443 nt
Filed under: uncultured bacterium
Lineage: Bacteria
Description: partial 16S ribosomal RNA
Rfam family: Bacterial small subunit ribosomal RNA
Source: RNAcentral